Molecule: ribosomal RNA, 408 nt
Filed under: uncultured bacterium
Lineage: Bacteria
Description: partial 16S ribosomal RNA
Rfam family: Bacterial small subunit ribosomal RNA
Source: RNAcentral
GACGAACGCUGGCGGCGUGCUUAACACAUGCAAGUCGAACGAAGUGGCGCACGGGUGAGUCACGCGUAAUCAACCUGCCCUUCAGAGGGGGGCCACAGUUGGAAACGACUGCUAAUCCCGCAUACUGAAGCAGGGGUUUGCGUCUGUUUAGCUAGUUGGUGGGGUAACGGCCCACCAAGGCGAAGAUCAGUAGCCGGACUGAUGGGAUGAACGGCCACAUUGGGACUGAGACACGGCCCAGACCCCUACGGGAGGCAGCAGUGGGGAAUCUUCCGCAAUGGACGGAAGGCUGACGGAGCAACGCCGGGGGAGUGAUGACGGCCUUCGGGUUGGAAAGCUCUGGUAAUCGGGACGCGGUACCGGAAUAGAAAGCCACGGCUAACUACGUGCCAGCAGCCGCGGUAAUUC